AAAAUUCAAACAAGAGGCUGUCACAACGACAGCAAACCGGAUUUAUUAAUAUUUAUUUGUGUCCUGGCAAUAUCACAAGAACCAUUACUGAUGAAUGGUGAAAGUGAAAAUCGUCAAUAUCAAAUUUGACCUCCAUUUUGUCAUCAGUAUCGACAUCUUAAAAUUUGAAAAGCUUAGAUUGAAUGGUUCAUGAGUAAAUGCAACAACAUGAAUGGAAACGCCAUUUCACAAUCUUUCAAGAACCAUAAAUCCUGAACGGUAAAAGUCAAAAUCGUC
RNAcentral lists this long non-coding RNA (276 nucleotides) under Mytilus galloprovincialis (Mediterranean mussel). The record is from RNAcentral. Lineage: Eukaryota; Metazoa; Mollusca; Bivalvia; Mytilida; Mytilidae.